This is an RNA transcript of Mytilus trossulus (common blue mussel), 2415 nucleotides long. It is a transcript of the gene named serine/arginine-rich splicing factor 2-like, with no coding region annotated. The transcript has 4 exons. The record is from RefSeq and is a predicted model, not a curated record. NCBI's taxonomy places the organism in Eukaryota, Metazoa, Mollusca, Bivalvia, Mytilida, Mytilidae.
CGUUGAACUGACAAAGAAAACCAAGAACGAGGCUGAAUAAAUUUUGACGAGAAAGAACAUGCAAGAAACAAAAUAGGAUCAAUUUUGUAUAAUUUACAUACAUAAGUCGAAACUCAAACGACAAAAAUGAGUUACUCUCGUCCUCCACCCAACACAGAACGAAUGUCAUCUCUUAAAGUUGACAAUCUCACAUUCAGAACAACACCAGAAGAUCUGAGACGCGCCUUUGAAAAGUACGGCGAGGUUGGAGACAUUUAUAUUCCCCGAGAUCGUUUCACUAGGAAAAGCAGAGGUUUUGCAUUUGUUAGGUACUAUGACAAAAGAGAUGCAGAAGACGCACUUGAUUCAAUGGACAGAGCAAUGUUAGAUGGUAGGGAACUCCGUGUACAGAUGGCAAGAUAUGGAAGACCUUCAAAUGACCGUAGAGGUGGAAGAAGGGGAGGUGGAAGUUAUGGCGGAGGUGGUGGCAGGGAUGGAGAUCGAGGCAGAGACGGAGAUCGAGGCAGAGAUGGAGGAGGAGGUCGAUAUGGAGGUGGUGACCGUGGUGGUAGCAGUAGGGACAGGGAUAGUAGGCGGAGAUCUUACAGGGAAAGGGACCUGAUCAUAUGAGUUUAAAAGGAUCAUAGAUUCCUGUACUAGAUUAUGUAAUCCUGGGGUAACAUGCACAGUGCAGUCUACAAGCUCAGGCUGGUGCAGUAGAAUGCAUAUUGUGCAGUUAAGUUACACGAGCAUCUGCUGCAUGUGAAAGGCAAGGCAAUCUUGCAGUCUAGUAAUACGAGAACGUAGAGGUGUUAUAGCUUGAAUUGUUAAAGAGUAGCUGUUCCCAGAUUUUUAGCUUCGAGGUUGUAAAAUUAAGGAACCCGGUGUAGAUUGUGGCAGGGAAAUAAUGGCCGACAAAUUUAGUUUUAGAACAAGCGUUUAUUAGGGGUAAGAGGUCCAAAUCUAGAAGUAGGAGUAGAUCUAGGUCAAGGAGUCGAUCUGACAGUUCCAGAAGUCGUAGCAAGAGUAGGUCUCGCUCCAGGUCAAGGUCAUAAACCAAAUGACAAAUAAGAACAUUUCAUAGCUUUGUGUUUCAUUAUCAUGUAUAAAUAAUAGCUUUGUAGGAGCAGACAUUAUAGCAAGGGGGUUGGAGUUAAAUCAUGGGCAAUUUAAAUUUUGUUUUGGAUGGAUAUCAUAAGAAGAAGGGGGUGGGGACAAUAAUGAUUUCUCAAAUACAAUUUGGCUUUAAGUAUAAAAUAUAUAUUAGAGUAUUUUAAGAUUCUGUACUUUACCUUCAAGAAUAUUCUCAGUUGCUGUUAUUCAUUUGAAAAUUAAUCCUGACAAGUUGGAUAAACUGGUUCCUUGUUAGUCUGCUCCGGUUUGGUUUUAAUUUCAUAUGUGUAUUAAACUUUUCUGCUAGAAUAUAAACAUUGACUUUCACUCUUAAAAACAAAAGAAAUUAUGAUAAAUUUAGUUUUUUUUUUAUAUUUUAACCAUGCUCAUUUUAUGUAGGUAGACCAUAUUCCCAUGAAAUAUUUCUCAAGACAUAAAAGAAGAGAAUUGAUACCAAUAAAGUGUAAAUUUAAUUCUCAGUAUUUGUCAAAUUGUUUUUUUAAGCCAUUUCUUGUUUUAUCAAAAUUAAUUGGAUUUUUUUCUUGUAUUUUAGCAAAGGCAGCUUCGUCAUUUCCCAAAUUUCUAGGAACUAACAUUGUAUGAUUACAAUUUUGAACCUACUUGUUUAAUCUGAAACCUGUUGGGAGUCAGAAAGUCAUUUAAGUUGCUUUAUUAUAAUCUGUUUUGAAUUGAAAAGAUUAUACUGUUUUUUGUUUUAGACAAGUAGAUAGUUUGUCAUUCAUGUAGCAUAUGUUUUGAUAUCGAUUCUCUUCAAUAAAAACUUCUUACAUUUUUUAUUAAUUUAUUUUAAAUUCACUUUUUCUUUACAUCUGCUGUCUGUCACUCAUGGUCGUUCAAAUUCAUUAUAAAAAAACUUGCAUAAUAUUCAUUGAUCAAGACAAUUUUCUUUCGUAGAAUUUUUCAACAUGUCAUUUUUUCUGGUAAGGUAAUUCAAAUGUAUUUGUCAAGAAAGAAUAAAUAUAUUGCUUAAUUUUUGGUCAGACUUGUCAAAUACAUAAUGAUAACAAAAUUAAUUUCCAAGUUUUAGUCCAUUGUUUUACCUAGGCCCUAUAGUUCUUUCUUUAAGGGGAUCAACCCUAAUGUUUACAAAAUUUACAAAAGUCUGACUAUUGCCCUAUUUUCAAAAAGGAAAUGACCUUGUAUCCAGCUGUAUUUUGGAUGCCAAUUGUUGAAACAUUAUAUUAUUUGAAAUGAUACUGGCAAUCGUAGCAUGUCAUCAAAUUUUAAGUUGUAAUAAAAGACCAGUGUCAACAUUAUAAUGAAUGUGUUGUAUUCUGUGUAAUAAAAUUUGAUCCUUUUUAA